This 167-nucleotide ribosomal RNA is filed under the name Curtobacterium sp. UNCCL20. The record is from RNAcentral. Lineage: Bacteria; Bacillati; Actinomycetota; Actinomycetes; Micrococcales; Microbacteriaceae.
GUGGGGAGCCGGGACAGCUUUCCUGGUUCAUCGGAUCAGGUCGAAGGUGUUCCGGUGGUCAUAGCGAGAGGGAAACGCCCGGUCACAUUCCGAACCCGGAAGCUAAGCCUCUCAGCGCCGAUGGUACUGCAAGGGGGACCUUGUGGGAGAGUAGGACGCCGCCGGAC